RNAcentral lists this non-coding RNA (45 nucleotides) under Schistosoma haematobium. Lineage: Eukaryota; Metazoa; Platyhelminthes; Trematoda; Strigeidida; Schistosomatidae. The record is from RNAcentral.
AUCCAGAUGACGAGUCCCAAAUAGGGCGAAACGCGCUUCAUGGAU